Molecule: ribosomal RNA, 81 nt
Filed under: Paenibacillus sp. BC26
Lineage: Bacteria; Bacillati; Bacillota; Bacilli; Caryophanales; Paenibacillaceae
Source: RNAcentral
AUCCCGAACACGACCGUUAAGCCCUCCAGCGCCGAUGGUACUUGGACCGCAGGGUCCUGGGAGAGUAGGACGUCGCCAAGC